Molecule: ribosomal RNA, 288 nt
Filed under: Riemerella anatipestifer
Lineage: Bacteria; Pseudomonadati; Bacteroidota; Flavobacteriia; Flavobacteriales; Weeksellaceae
Description: partial 23S ribosomal RNA
Rfam family: Bacterial large subunit ribosomal RNA
Source: RNAcentral
UCCCUAUCUGCCGUGGGCGCUGGAGAAUUGAGGGGGGCUGCUCCUAGUACGAGAGGACCGGAGUGGACGCAUCACUGGUGUUCGGGUUGUCAUGCCAAUGGCACUGCCCGGUAGCUAAAUGCGGAAGAGAUAAGUGCUGAAAGCAUCUAAGCACGAAACUUGCCCCGAGAUGAGUUCUCCCUGAGACUUUAAGUCUCCUGAAGGAACGUUAAAGACGAUGACGUUGAUAGGCCGGGUGUGUAAGCGCAGCGAUGCGUUGAGCUAACCGGUACUAAUGAACCGUGAGGC